This 5490-nucleotide ribosomal RNA is filed under the name Micractinium conductrix. RNAcentral's name for it is "23S ribosomal RNA". The stretch from base 1 to 4574 matches the Rfam family "Bacterial large subunit ribosomal RNA". The record is from RNAcentral. Lineage: Eukaryota; Viridiplantae; Chlorophyta; Trebouxiophyceae; Chlorellales; Chlorellaceae.
GUCAAAUGAAGUAAGGCGUAGGGUGGAUACCUAGGCACCUAGAGACGAUGAAGGGCGUGGAACCGACGAAACGCUUCGGGGAGCUGGAAACAAGCAACGAUCCGGAGAUUCCCGAAUAGGGCAACCUUUAGUACUUCUAACUGAAUUCAUAGGUUAGAAAGAGGCAACUCAGUGAACUGAAACAUCUUAGUAGCUGAAGGAAAAGAAAGCAAACGCGAUUCCCUAAGUAGUGGCGAGCGAAAGGGGAACAGCCUAAACCAAGUUAUUAACUUGGGGUCGUGGGAAAACAUUUUAUAAAGUUCACAAAAAAUUUAGACGAAGCAGCUGAAACCUGCACCAUAGAUGGUGAAAGUCCAGUAGUCCAAAAAUUUCACUGAAUUUUCGUUUAUCCCGAGUAGCAUGGGACACGUGAAAUCCCGUGUGAAUCAGCGAGGACCACCUCGUAAGGCUAAAUACUCCUAGGUGACCGAUAGCGAAAUAGUACCGUGAGGGAAAGGUGAAAAGAACCCCUGUAGGGGAGUGAAAUAGAACAUGAAACCCUAUGCCGACAACCAGUGGGAGGUACUUUAGUACUGACCGCGUGCCUGUUGAAGAAUGAGCCGGCGACUUAGAAAACGUGGCAAGGUUAAGGAAACGUAUCCGGAGCCGAAGCGAAAGCAAGUCUGAAUAGGGCGAUGAAGUCAUUUUUUCUAGACCCGAACCCGGGUGAUCUAACCAUGACCAGGAUGAAGCUUGGGUGACACCAAGUGAAGGUCCGAACCGACCGAUGUUGAAAAAUCGGCGGAUGAGUUGUGGUUAGCGGUGAAAUACCAGUCGAACUCGGAGCUAGCUGGUUCUCCCCGAAAUGCGUUGAGGCGCAGCGGUCCAUAAGGCUAUCUAGGGGUAAAGCACUGUUUCGGUGCGGGCUGCGAAAGCGGUACCAAAUCGUGGCAAACUCUGAAUACUAGAUAUGCUAUUUAUGGGCCAGUGAGACGGUGGGGGAUAAGCUUCAUCGUCGAGAGGGAAACAGCCCAGAUCACUAGCUAAGGCCCCAAAAUGAUCAUUAAGUGACAAAGGAGGUGAGAAUGCUGAAACAACCAGGAGGUUUGCUUAGAAGCAGCCACCCUUUAAAGAGUGCGUAAUAGCUCACUGGUGGAGCGUUCUUGCGCCGAAAAUGUCCGGGACUAAAUGAUCUGCCGAAGCUGUGGGAUAUUUAAAAAAAUAUCGGUAGGGGAGCGUUCUGCUGUAGGGUGAAGCGGUUAUGUAAGUAACCGUGGACGAAGCGGAAGUGAGAAUGUCGGCUUGAGUAACGCAAACAUUGGUGAGAAUCCAAUGCCCCGUAAACCUAAGGAUUCCUCCACUAGGUUCGUCCAUGGAGGGUGAGUCAGGACCUAAGGCGAGGCCGAAAGGCGUAGUCGAUGGCAAACAGGUUAAUAUUCCUGUACUAUUUCAUGUUUGGUACCGAGGGACGGAGCAGGCAGAGAUUGGUCGAGAUUGGAUUUCGAUGGAAACUUUCAACAUGUUGAAAGGUAGAAGAAAAACUAACCUUGAGUGAAGAAGUGAUACGUCCACAUCUUUUAGGUGUGGGUCAGUUGACUGUCAUACUUCCAAGAAAAGCUCGAACUACUGUAAAACAUUAAAUACCUGUACCGUAAACCGACACAGGUGGGUUGGUAGAGUAUACCAAGGGGCGCGAGAUAACUCUCUCUAAGGAACUCGGCAAAAUGACCCCGUAACUUCGGGAGAAGGGGUGCCAAGUAACUUCAAUUGCUUGGUCGCAGUGACCAGGCCCUGGCGACUGUUUAUCAAAAACACAGGUCUCCGCAAAGUCGUAAGACAACAUAUGGGGGCUGACGCCUGCCCAGUGCCGGAAGGUUAAAGAAGUUGGUUAUUCAUUUUUGGAGAAGCUGACGACUGAAGCCCCGGUGAACGGCGGCCGUAACUAUAGACUUUUGUAGUUAUAAAAUCUAGCUAUAUGCUGGAAACUCUCGGAAUGCUUUCACUACUCAUUGGCAUGCUUUUUUUUUAAUCCACUGACAAGUUGCCGAUUUCUGCAACGUUCAGCAAAGAAAACUCCAAUAGUGACAAUGUAAAAGAUAGAGACAAUCAGCAGGAAAGGCUUUACAUGACCAAAAUACACCUUAUCAAACACGUUCCCAGAGACAAAGGCUUUUAUAUUGCCGGGUUUGUUGAUGGUGAAGGCUCUUUUUUCUUGUCCGCAAGACCAAGAACCGAUUACCCUACAGGAUGGAAAUUUUCUCCUACUUUUAGUGUAGGAAACAGUGACCUUGUAGUGUUAGAACUGUGUAAACAGUAUCUUGGAUGUGGGAAAAUUCGUGAAACUCGACCAAAGUUUUAUAUUUUAGAAGUUGCAGAUCGUGGCGUACUUGAACGGUUUAUCAUUCCAUUCUUUACACGCUUUCGCUUUCUUUCGACAAAGAAAAAACAGGAAUUUCGGGUUUUUCAAGCAACACUCCACCAAGUGAAGCAAGGAAUUCAUACCCUUCAAGAUCUCGAUGAACUCUUAGCCCUUCGCAAAGAACUUGGGAAACUAAGACAAAAUCGAAUCACACAUACUGAUGACAUGAUACGCAGCACAUUUAGGGUCAAGUAAAGAAUCCUCAGAGACUCUACGCUAGACUUUCAAAAUUGAAAGAUGAUAUAGUCCGAUCUCUAUAGAGAUAUAGAGGCAAGUGUCAAACUUGCGCAACUCUUUUAAAGAGAUUGUUAACAUACAUGAACGGUCCUAAGGUAGCGAAAUUCCUUGUCGGGUGAAAUUUGCCCGAAUGUGUGUGUAAACGCAUAUUAGUAAACCAACUCAUAACGGUGAACCCUAAGACAUGUGUAUGUUAUGGGAAUACCGUGGGAACCUCCAAAUCUUUGAACAAAGUGACUCGAUUUGGUGGACCCGUAACGACUGACUCGAAAGAGGAGGCGGGAAUGAGUCAUUUCUGCAACACGUUGGCACUUCUGAGUUCAAAAUCAAUCAUGGAGAAUUUAUGAGUGAACUUGAUCCUUGGUGGAUUACAGGUUUUGUGGAUGGAGAAGGGUGUUUUUAUGUAAGUUUUAGUGUAAGAGAAAGUCGAAAGCCAUCUCUAGAAGUAAGGCCAGGUUUUUCAGUGAGUCAAACUGGAAAGCGAAACUGUCCAGUCUUAGAGAAGAUUCAAAAAAGAUUUGGUUGUGGUGCAAUUCGAUAUUCAGCAAACGAUGGAACAUAUAAGUAUGAGGUUCGAUCACUGGAUGAUCUUCUCACGUACAUUCUUCCAUUUUUUCAAAAAUAUCCUUUUCAAACACCAAAAGGACAAGAUUUUCAGAAUUUUAUUGAAGUGUGUUCUUUGAUGAAACGGAAUUUACACAAAAACCGCGAAGGAUUAAUCACCAUUCUUGAUCUAGCCUAUGCCAUGAAUCCAUGUGGAAAAAGAAAAUAUACCAAAGAGUAUCUCCUAAAAUUGAUCAGAAGUUGAAGGUAUAGUCUGAACAUUAUGGAAACAUAAUGCCUAACAUUUUUGAAGUUCCGACCCGCACGAAAGGCGUAACGAUCAGGGCACUGUCUCGGAGAGAGACUCGGUGAAAUAGACAUGUCUGUGAAGAUGCGGACUACCUGCACCUGGACAGAAAGACCCUAUGAAGCUUGACUGUAGCUUGGAAUUGGGUUCGGGCUCUUCUUGCGCAGCCUAGGUGGGAGGCGUUGAAAGCUUUCUUUUGGGAAAGCUGGAGCCAUCAGUGAGAGACCACUCUGGAGGAGCUAGAAUUCUAAUGGCGUUCCUUGAAGCAGGACGCUUGACAGUUUCAGGUGGGCAGUUUGACUGGGGCGGUCACCUCCUAAAAGGUAACGGAGGUGUGCAAAGGUUCCCUCAGGCUGGACGGAAAUCAGCCGUAGAGUGUAAAGGCAGAAGGGAGCUUGACUGCAAGACCUACAAGUCGAGCAGGGGCGAAAGCCGGCCUUAGUGAUCCGACGGUUCCAUGUGGAAGGGCCGUCGCUCAACGGAUAAAAGUUACUCUAGGGAUGAGUUAUGUUGUCCCGCUUCGCGGUGACGCGAAGGCAAUAAACUGGGUGAAUUGCAAGGACAGCUAAGGUUUGGUUGAAUCAAAUCAAAUUAUGCCAAUUUGCAGCGAAGCUCGUACAAGACAUAUUUGAGAAACUGUCCAUUUUGGCUCAUUUUUCAAAAAUUGCACGAGAACGUUCAACGACUAGAGGGUGCGGUUGUGUUAACCAAUAAUCUCUCCACGAGUGCCCAGCAACUUUUUAAUUAUCAUGCAAAAAAGUUGAUGACAUAGUCUGACCUCCUGGGAAACCUGGAGAAGCAAAAGAUAAAGAGCUUUUGCGGUAACAAGAAGUGAACAGGCUGAUCUUCCCCAAGAGUUCACAUCGACGGGAAGGUUUGGCACCUCGAUGUCGGCUCAUCGCAACCUGGGGCGGUAGUACGUCCCAAGGGUUGGGCUGUUCGCCCAUGAAAGCGGUACGUGAGCUGGGUUCAGAACGUAAACAUCAUUGCGUUGAAGCAUAGAAAUAUGACUUCUAGUAUCGGCUUAUAUCGGUGAAACCUUCACAAGCUAGUUGUAUGGUAAUACCGAGGGAAGAAUACAUAUGACACUCAAACAAUUAACUGGAAAUGAUCUCGCUUAUCUAGCUGGAUUUAUUGACGGAGAUGGGUGUAUCAAUGCACAAAUUGUACGACGGCGUGAUUAUGUUUUGAAAUUUCAAAUACGAGUCAGUCUCGCACUUUUUCAAAAAACCUCACGGCAUUGGUUUCUUUUACAAAUCCAAGAUCAACUCGGAAGCGGUACGGUGAGAAAACGACCCGACGGUGUUUCUGAGUAUUGUCUGGUAGGGCCCUCUUCGAUCCGAAAUGUUCUUCAGAAUCUCCUUCCCUAUCUCCGAUUGAAAAAAAACCAAGCCAAAAUCGUGCUUUCAGUGAUUGAUACCUUGUCCAAAUCACAAGAUCCACAAGCUUUUGUAAAGCUUUGUGAAAUGGUGGAUACCAUUGCAGACUUGAACGAUUCAAAAAAACGAACUCUUCGAGCCUCUGUCGUUCGAUCAGAAUUAGGACUUGACUCAGAAAGUAUUCCCUGUAGAGACUGAAAUCAGAAAUGAUUAAGAUAUCUCCUCUGGUGAGAGGAAUAUAAUACGCCGACUCUUCGUAAUGGCUCUAAAAAAAAGAGGUCAUUUCAAGAUGAAGAUAUAGUCCAUGCUUUUAGGAAACUAAGAGAUUUAACAUGCGUGAGACAGUUCGGUCCAUAUCCGGUGUAGGCGUUAGAGCAUUGAGAGGAGCCUUCCAUAGUACGAGAGGACCUGGAAGGACGCACCUCUGGUAUACCAGUUAUCAUGCCAAUGGUAAACGCUGGGUAGCCAUGUGUGGAGUGGAUAACCGCUGAAAGCAUCUAAGUGGGAAGCCCACCUCAAGAUGAGUGCUCUCCAUUAGGUCACAGGAAGACAACCUGUUUGAUAGGCAGAAGGUGUAAGGCCAGUAAUGGUUUCAGCUGAUCUGUACUAAUAGACCGAUUGAUUUU